Molecule: long non-coding RNA, 235 nt
Organism: Tachyglossus aculeatus (Australian echidna)
Lineage: Eukaryota; Metazoa; Chordata; Mammalia; Monotremata; Tachyglossidae
Exons: 3
Source: RefSeq, a predicted model, not a curated record
CUAUAACAUUUGGGCAAAGUGUCUUAUCCUGAGAUGGAUGAAAACUAGAAAGGAAAACAAUUGCAGCAUUUCAAGGUCAACUCGGUCUACAGACACCAGAGAAACAUAAUGGAACCGACAGGGCUCAGAAGACCAGCCCAGCCUUGAACCCCCAGAGAUUGAAACAUUGAUUCGUGAUGCAAGCAGACAAAAUCUCGGUGCAACAGAAGCUGGGAGAAGGACGGGGGGACAAGAA